CCUACGGGAGGCAGCAGUGGGGAAUAUUGCGCAAUGGGCGAAAGCCUGACGCAGCGACGCCGCGUGAGGGAUGAAGGUCUUCGGAUCAUAAACCUCUGUCAGCAGGGAAGAACGGUCACUGUGCUAAUCAGCAGUGAAUUGACGGUACCUGCAAAGGAAGCACCGGCUAACUCCGUGCCAGCAGCCGCGGUAAUACGGAGGGUGCGAGCGUUAAUCGGAAUUACUGGGCGUAAAGCGCUCGUAGGCGGUAUGUCAAGUCAAGGGUGAAAUCCCCGCGCUCAACGUGGGAACUGCCUUUGAAGCUGGCAAACUGGAGUGUGUGAGAGGAUAGUGGAAUUCCAGGUGUAGGAGUGAAAGCCGUAGAUAUCUGGAGGAACAUCAGUGGCGAAGGCGACUAUCUGGCACAUAACUGACGCUGAGGAGCGAAAGCGUGGGUAGCAAACAGGAUUAGAUACCCUAGUAGUC
Molecule: ribosomal RNA, 465 nt
Filed under: uncultured bacterium
Lineage: Bacteria
Description: partial 16S ribosomal RNA
Rfam family: Bacterial small subunit ribosomal RNA
Source: RNAcentral